Molecule: transfer RNA, 74 nt
Filed under: Deinococcus malanensis
Lineage: Bacteria; Thermotogati; Deinococcota; Deinococci; Deinococcales; Deinococcaceae
Description: tRNA-Met
Rfam family: tRNA
About the family: Transfer RNA (tRNA) molecules are approximately 80 nucleotides in length. Their secondary structure includes four short double-helical elements and three loops (D, anti-codon, and T loops).
Source: RNAcentral
GCGGACGUUGCCUAAUGGUUGGCACCACUUUCAUACGGUGGCUCCUGGGGGUUCGACUCCCCUCGUCCGCUCCA